Molecule: ribosomal RNA, 506 nt
Filed under: uncultured bacterium
Lineage: Bacteria
Description: partial 16S ribosomal RNA
Rfam family: Bacterial small subunit ribosomal RNA
Source: RNAcentral
AGUGAACGCUGGCGGUAGGCCUAACACAUGCAAGUCGAACGGCAGCACAGAGGAGCUUGCUCCUUGGGUGGCGAGUGGCGGACGGGUGAGGAAUACAUCGGAAUCUACUCUGUCGUGGGGGAUAACGUAGGGAAACUUACGCUAAUACCGCAUACGACCUACGGGAGAAAGCAGGGGACCUUCGGGCCUUGCGCGAUUGAAUGAGCCGAUGUCGGAUUAGCUAGUUGGCGGGGUAAAGGCCCACCAAGGCGACGAUCCGUAGCUGGUCUGAGAGGAUGAUCAGCCACACUGGAACUGAGACACGGUCCAGACUCCUACGGGGGGCAGCAGUGGGGAAUAUUGGACAAUGGGCGCAAGCCUGAUCCAGCCAUACCGCGUGGGUGAAGAAGGCCUUCGGGUUGUAAAGCCCUUUUGUUGGGAAAGAAAUCCAGCUGGCUAAUACCCGGUUGGUAUGACGGUACCCAAAGAAUAAGCACCGGCUAACUUCGUGCCAGCCGCCGCCGUAA